AAUAACUUUUAAAAACAAGGCUCUGCUUCUGAAGUUUUAGAAAAACAAGGCUCUGCUUCUGAAGUUUUAGAAAAACAAGGCUCUGCUUCUGAAGUUUUAGAAAAGGAUGUAUUUUUAUACUUUUUUCAUUUGAUUAUACUUUUUUAUUUUUGUAACUGAAUUCCAAUAUGUUCUGAAACAAUCUUUUAGUUAGUUUAUGUAUAGGACACAAAUAUGCAUCAAAAUUUAUCAAGUUAAAUUGAUGGACAUUUUUUCGAAAGAAAUGAGUUAGACAACUGAUAGGAUGGAGACCCAUCCACUUAUAUGCGCUUUAAUUCUAAAAAAUUUGAUUGAAGAAAAAUGAAAAUCUUUUUUGUUGUUGCCUUGGUGAUGAUAUCAACUUAGUUGCGUGCUGAUCAGUUGCUGGAUGAAUUAAAGCUCUCAUAGUUCCCUAAAUCAGUAAUGUAUCAUCAGUUGCAUCUAAUGCUAAAAUUGAUGCACAUAAAGCUGUGAAAAUAAAAGCUUUAACUUCAGGACCAUCAAGAGAAGAGUUUAAACAUUAACUGAAGAGAUAUUUUUUGCUUUUUGGGGAUCGAAAUGGCGGACGAAUAGCUCGAGAGGAACGUUCUUUGUAUAAAAAGUUAUUUGCAUAAAUAACAAUUUGAACUUUUAA
This is a long non-coding RNA of Hydra vulgaris (swiftwater hydra), 652 nucleotides long. RefSeq lists it as uncharacterized. The record is from RefSeq and is a predicted model, not a curated record. NCBI's taxonomy places the organism in Eukaryota, Metazoa, Cnidaria, Hydrozoa, Anthoathecata, Hydridae.